This 1542-nucleotide long non-coding RNA is filed under the name Musa acuminata (dwarf banana). RNAcentral's name for it is "long non-coding RNA (MACU_LNC005184)". The record is from RNAcentral. Lineage: Eukaryota; Viridiplantae; Streptophyta; Magnoliopsida; Zingiberales; Musaceae.
GAAUAAAGUACCUUGGACUAGAAACAUAUAUCUUUUUUUUAACUCAAGUAUAUUCCUUGGAGCUACAAAAGGGCAAAGGUAGAGAUUCAAUGAUGAUCACACCUAUAAGCCAUGGGAGGCAGACUGCAAAAGGCAAGUGUUCGACUGGAAAAACAGUAAGUCCAAUGUGCCUAUGCAUUUUAAUUAAUUUCUGACUCCAAUCUCUCCAUUCACAAUGUGAAUUGGUGGUAUUUUGUAUUCCGAUAUAUAUAUAUUAUGUUUGGUCUCUUAACCCUCUGGUUUGUUUUUUUUUUCCCUUUUCUCUUUGUCCUACAAUGUCUGUCGCCACAAACCAGCAAAAUGCACAUUGGAUGUGACUCAUAAAUUGAGGGUCUAAUGAUCCAAUCCUUUUGUUGAAGAAAUGGAUGCCAAAUAAUUAGAUGAAGCACGCUAAUGCCUGCAAACUGUUUUCUCACGGAAUUGUCUGUUGUUUUAUUGUAUGUAUCAAUUGAUCCCUGCUUUUCUCAUUAAUGUUACAUUUCGACCCUAAUAUUUACCUCCAUUAAUUAACUUGAAAGAUUCAAAACUAAUCCAGUGAAUAUUUUUUACCAAACAUGUUAUCUCUUAAAAUGUUUUAGGUUCAAUUAUUCUUCUUUUCUUAGCCUAAAUCUUCUUCAUUUCUCGCUGUUAUUUUUCUUUCUGAUAUACAAUAUGAGCAUAGUUUUAUCAGCAUUACAAUGCUGAUUGAUAUAAGACCCUAAAUCUUCUUCAUUUCUCGCUCUGUUAUUUUUCCUUCCGAUAUACAAUACAAGAGCAUAGUUUUAUCAGCAUUGCAAUGCUCUUAUUAAACAUCAAUUUCCACCAAAAAAAUAACAGAGCGUAGUUUUACAAGAGCAUAGUUUUAUCAGCAUUGCAUUGUAAAUAGUCCUCUAUUGAUGGAACACAAACACCAGAAACCAAAAUUAUCAACAAAAUCCACACAAAUCAAACAUCAACAAGACCUUACAGAAACCAAAAACAUCAACAACGUUCACACAAAUUCUAAGAUCCGAUAUCCAAAACACAAGACUUACAACAUCUGCUACAGGAAGGAGGAAAAUCAGAUCAAUGUGUCUGUGGAAAGAAGCACAUUCCAAACCCCAAAAAUCUCAAGAUGUGCAAAGCAAAAGAAGUAGCAGCACCCACUACAAUGGCAUAGAGUGGCAAUCUCACAACAUCGAGUGAAGACAGGCUUACCAAAGAGGCAAGAGUCGAAGCAGGGAGGAGGAGGAGGAGGAAGGAAGCGCGUCAGAAACGAGGGCAGUGGCGUUGUCAUGUCAUAUAUGAAGGGAGGUUGGCUUUUGCGGUGCAGAUAGGGUUAGUUUUGUCGGGUGGAGGAGACUCGUCGAUGGCGCUUUGGGGGCAGCAAGAGACCAUAGGGUGCACAGGAUAAGGCGCUCUCUCUCUCUCUCUCUCUCUCUUCAUGAUCAACUCUUCUAGCAUCCUAAUCCCACAUCGUUGACCAAGUUGACCCUCUUCCUAUCGAAUGUUGACUUGCAUGUUGACCAAAUUACCGCCCUUUCA